RNAcentral lists this long non-coding RNA (225 nucleotides) under Homo sapiens (human). RNAcentral describes it as "non-protein coding lnc-TACR2-1:2". Lineage: Eukaryota; Metazoa; Chordata; Mammalia; Primates; Hominidae. The record is from RNAcentral.
UGAGAAGGGACUGGGUGACCUCCCUAACCUGCCAAACAUGUGCUGAGAGACCAGAUGGGGGUCUUGAUAUGUUGCCCAAGCUGAUCUUGAACUCCUGGCCUCAAGCAAUCUUCCAGACUUGGCCUCCCAAAGUGCUGAGAUUACAGGUGUGAGCCACCAUACCCAGUCUAUACUUUAUCUGAAGAAAAUUUCUUGAAAAGUUCUAUUUCUUCAAUCAUGCCUCCC